RNAcentral lists this ribosomal RNA (327 nucleotides) under uncultured Glomus. RNAcentral describes it as "eukaryotic LSU rRNA". The record is from RNAcentral. Lineage: Eukaryota; Fungi; Glomeromycota; Glomeromycetes; Glomerales; Glomeraceae.
CAGUCGUACCGAUGAGCAUUCAGCCUUUUGGGUGCGAUUAUGUGGUACGUGGGAAGAUUUUACGGUUGCAUAUUCGUGCCUUUGGGGUGUAUUUGCUCGUAUGGUAGGUUAACAUCAAUUUCGGUUAUCAUAAAAUGGCGGGAGGAAUGUAGCUUUUCCGGAAGUGUUAUAGCCUCUGGUAGAUGUGAUAACUGGGAUUGAGGAUUGCAACGAACCCUCUGGGCUACUCGCCUGGCCUCUGGGUCGUCGCUUUGGGGCUGAAAGCGUGCUUAAGUAUCAAAGUAGGUGGUCAAAGGGUUAAACGGGAUAAAUCCCUUAAGGAUGUUG